CGACCGUCUGUUAACAUCAAUCUGAGCCGAGUAAUAUAACUAUAGAAUAACUAUAAAUUCAAGUUUUGACGCCCGUGCUAUUUUUUUGAAGAUUACCUUUUUUCUUUUCAAAACUUAAUUGUUAACGUAAAUUUUUGAAUGAAGAACCUAAAUGAAGUCAGUUGUACCCAUUAUAUGGUUAAUCUGCCAUGGGCAAGCUAACGUUAAGCAAUUCAUAAGCAUCUGCCAUGGGCAAGCUAACGUUAAGAAAAUCAUAAGCCGCUGCCACGGGCAACUUAUCUUUAAUUGCAUUUUGGUACGUAUUUGAGAAUGAAGUAUAAAAUGAAGUAAAUUUGUUUGCGAAUUGGGACACCUGAAGUAACUGUGCAUCAUUAAUAAGGGCAUUGGCCACAAACGCAAAGCGAGCCUAUGCAAGGUUGGGUGGGUUCUGAAGAGGAAUUAAAUGACAUCUGCAAUUCCUCACAUUUAAUGUAAAAUUAGAUUCUUUGAGCUUUGGUUUAGUUUGUCAAUAGUUCCUACUCUGUCUACUAUUUAAGUUUAUGUGACGGCGCGGUUCUCUAGGUAGCAAAACCCCACUCCCAUGUUCCCUGAGCACAGCCGACUGGCAGAGUACGCUGCCAGAUAGCCGCACACAUGGUCGUGUUCGUUACAUAUUCUUUGGCGCCCAACGUCGGGGCGAUCAGAAAUCAGGAAAAUACCGUAUCUUGAGAAUAUAAUAGAGUUAAUUUUUCGUGUCGCUACCCAAUGCAAUAUUCUAAAGAAAAAUCCAAUUUUUUUUUGUAUGGUUUCCUAAUUUGAGCCUUAAUGUGAUAGUUUGGAAUUCAGACAUCGCGCGUUCUUGCAGGUGCUGAACCUAGAUUAUGUUAUCGCUCAAUCCUAAUUCCCAUAUCAACAAUAAAUGAAUUGCUUCGGUAUGUGAGAUUUGGGGAAAAGCUCGAAUUCGCACCAGGCAACAUUAUUCUUUUAAUAAUCACAUUUGAUUCACCUAAGAAAAGUCAUUUGAGAUUUACUUUGUUGGAAAUUUCUAGCAAGUACUCAUGAUUAUAUUUUUAGAGAUCAAACAUUAAGUCUUACUGCUUUGAGAUUUGUUUAGCUAAAUAGUUUUUGGAAAGACACUCAGCAGUAAUGCACUUGCUUUCCUAACAUUAAAAGACUUUUGCCCAACAGAAACCCUAAUUUUAUAUUAAUAUUUAUUCGAUGCACGGUAACUAAAGGAUAGUCUCAAUUUUAAAUCAGAGUUUUUAUAUUUACAAUAUUUGAGAAAAUAUUUUAAUACUACAACAUGUCAGUUCAGCCUAAUCGAGUCGAGGUUGCAGUCACCGAUAGUGGGGAUGAACGUUCUCUUUGUAUUAUUUGCAUAGUAUCAUUAUGGUAAUAGAUACUGAACUUGCAGAAACCCCUUGUAGACAUAAAUUUCACAGAACAUGCGUGGUACUGUGGUUAGGAACUAAUGAAACUUGUCCGCUUUGCCGAAGUGCUUGUACCCUGGUACAACUGAUAACCUUUCCUGCUGCUCAACCGAAUAGGUCUACUAAUGAUACUAAUAGGGAAGUUCGAGGUGCUUCUGCCAAUCAAGCUACGGGAGCCGUUAACCGAACACAAGAGCGAAUUCCAAUCAGAACUUAACGAAUCAGAGAGCACAGUCUAGCUUGAGAAGCAUUUCCGAAACUCGAGUACAGCAGUUAAUCACCGACUCCUUAGAAACCUUUCAAGUUAGCAUGGUUGCAGCAGUAGCGGAUGAGAUCAGUAAUACGAUGCGAAACCUUCAGUUGACUAAUAAUUCCCAAAAUCCGCGAAAUCACAUCCUUGUAGAAAAUCCUGGAAACUUAAAUCGAUCCAAUGCAAGCAGAGUUGAUAGUAAUCAAGGCUCUAGUAUACGAUUGCCUUAAGGUGAUCCUGUGACACAAGCCUUAUAUCGUCCUGACAAAGUUUCAAGCGUUAUUUCUAAUUGGAACGUGAAAUUCACUGGCAUGGCAAGUGACAUACCUGUUGAAGACUUUAUCUAUAGGAUAAAUAGUUUGACUAUACAAUGUCUAAACGCAAACUCUAAUUUGCUAUACCAAUUUGCCAACGUACUAUUUGCCGGACCAGCUUUACAAUUUUAUUGGCGUUUUCAGAGAACUUCAAGUGAACCGAAUUGGUUUCACCUGUGUACAAGUCUCCGUGAACGGUAUAGAGAAGCGCACUGACGAAGAGAUUAAAGACUCUUUUCGACAUAGGAAGCAGAAAAGCGCGGAAAAUUUUGACGAUUUUCUAGAUGCUAUCCUAACGAUUGCAGAUGCUUUGCGUGAGCCUAUGUCCGACAGUGAACUAGUUACCAACGUUAAAAAGAACCUUAAACCUGAAUUACGACUAGAAUUAUUACAUGUUUUGACCCCAAACAUUGCCUCCUUAAGAGCAGAGUGCCACAAUCACGAACGAUUUCUCAUUAGCAUGGCAGGUAGGUCGGCAGCCCGUCCUCCUCCAAACCGGCGAUUUGUAAAUGAGCUAGUGCAGGUUGAAGAGUCUAGGGAAGAAGAGAAUUAUCAAACUAUGAGCGACGUAGAAAUAAAUGCGAUGCGCAAUGCUGAGCGUUAUAAAUGUUGGAAUUGUGAGGAAACCGGAAAAAGAUAUCAUGAUUGCCUCAAAGCCAGACGCAUAUUUUGCUAUGGGUGUGGUCCUCCUGACACUUAUAAGCCUAGUUGCUUGAAAUGUAAUCCCCCGUCGGAAAACUCGUAAGAGGAUGUCCAUCAAUUCUGACUGGUGGAUAACCUAUUUCAAAAUCAGCAUCAAUAACAGGUACUAAUAAUCUUCUAAUUUAAGUAACUCUCAACCUGACUCGACAACAUCUAACCCAGAUUUAGACAAACCCAACUGUAUGUUAAUUAAAAACACUACAGAGCCGUCAUAAACCUUUAAAUUUAUCCCCUACCAUGAAAGAGUACGCAACUAUUAUCAACGCAGAGCGGAAAUAUUUACACUACGAAUUAAUUCUGCCAACAAAUCUCGAUCAGCUAAUCGAAUGUGUUCAUUUUGGAAACAGCAGCGAAGAAUGAAGAAGUAUGUCGUAUCCUCUAUUGUUAGGCAGGACAAUGACAACCGUCCUUACAUCGCUUUGGAAUUAUUUAACAAAACCUUGGCCUUGCUUGAUAGUUGAGCUAACAAAUGCGUAGUAGGUGGUAAAUUGGCUAAACUUAUUCUUACAGAUCAUCCAGGGUUAAGGAAGUUAAAAUGUUAUGUUCGUACAGCCGAUGGACAAAAUCAAAACGUCACCGCUACCAUUGUCGUUCCGAUUCACUAUAACUCCUUAUCUCAGGAUGUAGAAUUUUUAAUAGUACCCAGUAUUAAACAAGAUAUAAUCUGCGGAAUGGAUUUUUGGAAAUUAUUUGGUCUUCGAAUAUCCAGUACAACGACUAUUUCCGAAAUUUCUGACUCCAAUGAUUUAGGUGACAGAGUCUUGCUUAAUGCAACCGAUCGAAACCGAUUACAAGCUGUUAUCGAAUUCUUUCCAUCGUCUGAAAAAAGUGGUUUAGGAAAAACAACCCUAAUUCAACAUCAUAUUGACACCGGUGCAGCAAAAGCAAUUAAGCAAAGAUAUUACAACUUAUCUUUAUCCAAAGAGCUUCAGUUAUGCCAAGAAGUAGACCGCAUGAUUAGUCUGGGAGUACUAGAAGAAGCGCCCGCGUCCACUUCUCCGGCAGUCUUGGUCGUAAAAUCAGGCAAAGUGAGAAUUUGCUUAGAUUCCAGGAAGCUUAAUUCUGUUACAGUAAAGGAUGCUUAUCCUACUCCUCUUAUUGAAGGUCUACUAAGUCGCUUACCUUCAGUACACUGCAUAUCGAAAAUUGAUUUAAAAGAUGUGUUUUGGCAGAUAUGUCUAGACGAAGAAUCGAAACCAAAAACCGCAAUAACCAUACCCAACCGUCCUUUAUAUCAAUUUACACGAAUGCCUUUCGGACUUAUGGAUAAAGUAAUACCUUAUAGAAUGAAAUCACACGUGAUGGUAUAUUUAGAUGACCUAUUAGUCAUGUCUUCAAGUUUCGAAGAGCAUUUUUCUCAUCUGGCCGAAGUCGCUACGCAACUUCGAAAGGCAGGUCUUACUAUUAAUAUCGCCAAAAGUCAGUUUUGCUUAAAGAAAAUCGACUAUUUAGGUUACAUUGUUGGAGAGGGAACUUUGCAAGUGAAUCCCAAUAAAAUAGACGCCGUGUCCAACUUUCCUGUUCCAAAAACCAAACGUCAACUUAAGAGAUUUCUCGGGAUGACCGGUUGGUAUCAACGGUUUAUUAACCAAUAUUCGGAACAAACCUUCCACCUAACCGAUUUGUUGCGAGGAAAUGAAUUUCACUGGAAUGAUAACGCCCAAGUUGCUUUUGAACAAUUGAAAAAGGCUCUGACCACUGCUCCAUUAAUAGUACAUCCCAAUUACGAAAAACCGUUUAUAGUGCAGUGUGAUGCCUCGAUCAAUGGUGUUGGUGCGCUUCUAGCUCAAUGUGAUGAAAACGGAAUAGAACGCCCUAUUGCAUAUAUGUCUAAGAAGCUUAAUAGAUCUCAAAGGAAUUACUCUACGACGGAACUUGAAUGCUUAGCAGUAGUUCUAGCUAUUAAAAGAUUUCGAAUGUAUAUUGAAGGUCAUGAAUUUACUAUUGUGACUGAUCAUGCAAGUCUCCGAUGGCUCAUGACGCAGCAAGACCUUCAAGGAAGAUUUGCUCGGUGGGCACUCAAACUUCAAGGAUUUAAUUUUAGCAUAGAACAUCGUCGAGGUAGUGAAAAUGUAGUAGCCGAUGCCAUUUCAAGAUCUUUUGAAUCAGAUGAAGGCCUUGCCACUAUUGAUAUCGAUGUUCUCCCAGAAAUUGAUUUGGAAUCCGAAUUCUUUCAAUCAUCCAGCUAUUCGCAACUUAAAGAAAAGUUAACGCAGUCUCAACUACCGGAUUUUCAAGUAAUAGAUGGUUUUCUUUAUCACAGGGUUGGUUUCUCUUACAGUUCCUCCGACCAUCCGAAAGACUCCUGGAAGCUUGUGGUUCCGGUCGAGCUUAGAGAAGGUGUAAUCAAGGCAGCUCACGAUCAGCCGUCUUCUUCUCAUUGCGGUGUAGCCAAAUGUUUGGCAAAUAUUCGAAGAAAGUUUAACUGGCCGCGUAUGGUUGUAGACGUUCGCAAUUACAUCAAAAACUGUGAGAUUUGUAGGACAUCAAAAUACCCCAUGCAGAAACUUAAACCACCCAUAGGAUAACAAAUUGUUAACGAACGAGUAUUUCAAAGGGACUUUAUUGGUCCCUUCCCAAGGACGAAAAGAUGUAAUAUAGGAAUCUUUAUAGUACUCGAUCAUCUAUCGAAAUUCACGUUUCUUAAACCGGUAAAGAAGUUUACAAGUCAAGUCGUCGUGUCAUACCUGAAAGAGGAAAUUUUUUAUUGUUACGAAACGCCUGAGGUUAUAGUAAGCGAUAAUGGUUCGCAAUUCAAAAGUCAGGAAUUUUCUUCUUUUCUUUCUAAGCAUUGCAUUACCCACACUUGCACCGCAGCCUAUUCGCCGCAGUCCAAUGCCGCAGAAAGAGUUAAUAGGUCUUUUAAUGCUGCAUUGAGAGCCUAUACCCGAUCCGAUCAGAGAGAAUGGGAUAGAUAUCUUAGUAGUAUAACCUGUUCUCUGCGUCGACAUAUGCACCAGUCAAUAGCUGAAUCUCCAUUCUUUGUUGUUUUCGGGCAGCAUAUGAUUUGUCACGGAAAAGAUUAUAAAUUACUCAAAAAUCUAAAUUUGCUUAAUGAAAGUUCCUUACGACUAAACCGACAAGACCAAUUCUCUACGUUACGAUUUGACCUCCAAAAGCAAUUAGACAAAGCUUAUAAAAAGAAUGAGCAAUCCUAUAACCUCCGAUCUAGGCCUCGAUCUUUUCAGGUAGGAGACGAGGUAAUUAAACGAAACUUCGCCCUUAGCAAUGCCGCCGCCCACUUCAAUGCUAAGCUUGCACCGGUAGGAAUAAAGGUCCGUGUCAAGCAAAGACUGGGAAACUCUCUCUAUUUACUUAGGGAUUUAAACGGAAAGGAAUUAGGAACAUAUCAUGCAAAGGAUAUUUGGUAACAGUAGACACCCUUUUUCAGGUUUUAUCUCUGUCGUGAAGACUAAAGAUUAAUCCUGUGCUGUAGGGGUGUGAAAUUAUUAGGAAAAGAUUCCUGUAUUUUUUUUUUAAUAUAAAAUAUCGCUAAUGGUUCCGCAACCUGGUGGCAACCACACAUCCUAGAAAAUACUAAACGAUAAUUUCGUAUUUUCUAACACUGCUUGUCAGAGGGCUUGCACCCGCCAUUUGCGUUUUUUCGUUCUCUUAUUUCUGAUCUUUCGGCCGAAGCACACGCGUUUUAAAUCAAAUCGUAUUUUGCAAAGAAGUGCUAAGUCCACGUGUGUAUAUAUAUUAUUAAGGUUAUUAAGCCCGAGGUGGUGCAUAGGGCUUAAUAACCGCCCAACAAGACAAACCGACUAAUAAGUGAAGCACCACAAAGCUAAUUUCAAACGCCCAAAGUGGCUGGCGAAAUUUAGCUGCCACCGAUCGCAACAUCCAACUUAUAGUUGAAAAACUAAUUAGGAGUGCGCAGCGCCACUUGAUCAAAUCGCCUGGUGCUCGUUUUGGCCCACUCUGGCUGCCAACACGUGGAGCGGGACCACUCGAGCCGAGCCACAUACAGUUUACCAGUGCAAAUUUAAGUUUCGAGCCAAGCAUUCCAACCGUUGUAAGACGUAAGGAAAACUUAAGUUCCUAGAUUGAUACACGUGUUGUUCGCCAUAUUCUCCUGACCAGUUGCGAGUAACCUAACCCCGGACUGAUGGUUAGCCAUCGACACGUCCAACACGAGCGUAUAGCGGAUAAGCAGACACCCUAGACUCUUGUUCUAACUGUUGAAUCUGCCGCCUCGCAGCUAAGGAUUCACUCCCGAUCUCAGCAGCCGAUCUGACUGUUGCAUUGCUUUUGUAGUUGUUAGAAUAAAUUUAAAUUUUAUAGAAAUUAAGCUUAUUAUACGGUUCACUCAGCAUACACGCAUCCUCGUUUACACACACCGUCCACAGGCCUGUCGACUGCACUGGAAACAAAUUUAAAGUAUUAAUGUUGUAAGUACGGCAUAGCCGACCGUCUGUUAACAUCAAUCUGAGCCGAGUAAUAUAACUAUAGAAUAACUAUAAAUUCAAGUUUUGACGCCCGUGCUAUUUUUUUGAAGAUUACCUUUUUUCUUUUCAAAACUUAAUUGUUAACGUAAAUUUUUGAAUGAAGAACCUAAAUGAAGUCAGUUGUACCCAUUAUAUGGUUAAUCUGCCAUGGGCAAGCUAACGUUAAGCAAUUCAUAAGCAUCUGCCAUGGGCAAGCUAACGUUAAGAAAAUCAUAAGCCGCUGCCACGGGCAACUUAUCUUUAAUUGCAUUUUGGUACGUAUUUGAGAAUGAAGUAUAAAAUGAAGUAAAUUUGUUUGCGAAUUGGGACACCUGAAGUAACUGUGCAUCAUUAAUAAGGGCAUUGGCCACAAACGCAAAGCGAGCCUAUGCAAGGUUGGGUGGGUUCUGAAGAGGAAUUAAAUGACAUCUGCAAUUCCUCACAUUUAAUGUAAAAUUAGAUUCUUUGAGCUUUGGUUUAGUUUGUCAAUAGUUCCUACUCUGUCUACUAUUUAAGUUUAUGUGACGGCGCGGUUCUCUAGGUAGCAAAACCCCACUCCCAUGUUCCCUGAGCACAGCCGACUGGCAGAGUACGCUGCCAGAUAGCCGCACACAUGGUCGUGUUCGUUACAUAUUCUUUGGCGCCCAACGUCGGGGCGAUCAGAAAUCAGGAAAAUACCGUAUCUUGAGAAUAUAAUAGAGUUAAUUUUUCGUGUCGCUACCCAAUGCAAUAUUCUAAAGAAAAAUCCAAUUUUUUUUUGUAUAGUUUCCUAAUUUGAGCCUUAAUGUGAUAGUUUGGAAUUCAGACAUCGCGCGUUCUUGCAGGUGCUGAACCUAGAUUAUGUUAUCGCUCAAUCCUAAUUCCCAUAUCAACAAUAAAUGAAUUGCUUCGGUAUGUGAGAUUUGGGGAAAAGCUCGAAUUCGCACCAGGCAACAUUAUUCUUUUAAUAAUCACAUUUGAUUCACCUAAGAAAAGUCAUUUGAGAUUUACUUUGUUGGAAAUUUCUAGCAAGUACUCAUGAUUAUAUUUUUAGAGAUCAAACAUUAAGUCUUACUGCUUUGAGAUUUGUUUAGCUAAAUAGUUUUUGGAAAGACACUCAGCAGUAAUGCACUUGCUUUCCUAACAUUAAAAGACUUUUGCCCAACAGAAACCCUAAUUUUAUAUUAAUAUUUAUUCGAUGCACGGUAACUAAAGGAUAGUCUCAAUUUUAAAUCAGAGUUUUUAUAUUUACAAUAUUUGAGAAAAUAUUUUAAUACUACAACAUGUCAGUUCAGCCUAAUCGAGACGAGGUUGCAGUCACCGAUAGUGGGGAUGAACGUUCUCUUUGUAUUAUUUGCAUAGUAUCAUUAUGGUAAUAGAUACUGAACUUGCAGAAACCCCUUGUAGACAUAAAUUUCACAGAACAUGCGUGGUACUGUGGUUAGGAACUAAUGAAACUUGUCCGCUUUGCCGAAGUGCUUGUACCCUGGUACAACUGAUAACCUUUCCUGCUGCUCAACCGAAUAGGUCUACUAAUGAUACUAAUAGGGAAGUUCGAGGUGCUUCUGCCAAUCAAGCUACGGGAGCCGUUAACCGAACACAAGAGCGAAUUCCAAUCAGAACUUAACGAAUCAGAGAGCACAGUCUAGCUUGAGAAGCAUUUCCGAAACUCGAGUACAGCAGUUAAUCACCGACUCCUUAGAAACCUUUCAAGUUAGCAUGGUUGCAGCAGUAGCGGAUGAGAUCAGUAAUACGAUGCGAAACCUUCAGUUGACUAAUAAUUCCCAAAAUCCGCGAAAUCACAUCCUUGUAGAAAAUCCUGGAAACUUAAAUCGAUCCAAUGCAAGCAGAGUUGAUAGUAAUCAAGGCUCUAGUAUACGAUUGCCUUAAGGUGAUCCUGUGACACAAGCCUUAUAUCGUCCUGACAAAGUUUCAAGCGUUAUUUCUAAUUGGAACGUGAAAUUCACUGGCAUGGCAAGUGACAUACCUGUUGAAGACUUUAUCUAUAGGAUAAAUAGUUUGACUAUACAAUGUCUAAACGCAAACUCUAAUUUGCUAUACCAAUUUGCCAACGUACUAUUUGCCGGACCAGCUUUACAAUUUUAUUGGCGUUUUCAGAGAACUUCAAGUGAACCGAAUUGGUUUCACCUGUGUACAAGUCUCCGUGAACGGUAUAGAGAAGCGCACUGACGAAGAGAUUAAAGACUCUUUUCGACUUAGGAAGCAGAAAAGCGCGGAAAAUUUUGACGAUUUUCUAGAUGCUAUCCUAACGAUUGCAGAUGCUUUGCGUGAGCCUAUGUCCGACAGUGAACUAGUUACCAACGUUAAAAAGAACCUUAAACCUGAAUUACGACUAGAAUUAUUACAUGUUUUGACCCCAAACAUUGCCUCCUUAAGAGCAGAGUGCCACAAUCACGAACGAUUUCUCAUUAGCAUGGCAGGUAGGUCGGCAGCCCGUCCUCCUCCAAACCGGCGAUUUGUAAAUGAGCUAGUGCAGGUUGAAGAGUCUAGGGAAGAAGAGAAUUAUCAAACUAUGAGCGACGUAGAAAUAAAUGCGAUGCGCAAUGCUGAGCGUUAUAAAUGUUGGAAUUGUGAGGAAACCGGAAAAAGAUAUCAUGAUUGCCUCAAAGCCAGACGCAUAUUUUGCUAUGGGUGUGGUCCUCCUGACACUUAUAAGCCUAGUUGCUUGAAAUGUAAUCCCCCGUCGGAAAACUCGUAAGAGGAUGUCCAUCAAUUCUGACUGGUGGAUAUCCUAUUUCAAAAUCACCAUCAAUAACAGGUACUAAUAAUCUUCUAAUUUAAGUAACUCUCAACCUGACUCGACAACAUCUAACCCAGAUUUAGACAAACCCAACUGUAUGUUAAUUAAAAACACUACAGAGCCGUCAUAAACCUUUAAAUUUAUCCCCUACCAUGAAAGAGUACGCAACUAUUAUCAACGCAGAGCGGAAAUAUUUACACUACAAAUUAAUUCUGCCAACAAAUCUCGAUCAGCUAAUCGAAUGUGUUCAUUUUGGAAACAGCAGCGAAGAAUGAAGAAGUAUGUCGUAUCCUCUAUUGUUAGGCAGGACAAUGACAACCGUCCUUACAUCGCUUUGGAAUUAUUUAACAAAACCUUGGCCUUGCUUGAUAGUUGAGCUAACAAAUGCGUAGUAGGUGGUAAAUUGGCUAAACUUAUUCUUACAGAUCAUCCAGGGUUAAGGAAGUUAAAAUGUUAUGUUCGUACAGCCGAUGGACAAAAUCAAAACGUCACCGCUACCAUUGUCGUUCCGAUUCACUAUAACUCCUUAUCUCAGGAUGUAGAAUUUUUAAUAGUACCCAGUAUUAAACAAGAUAUAAUCUGCGGAAUGGAUUUUUGGAAAUUAUUUGGUCUUCGAAUAUCCAGUACAACGACUAUUUCCGAAAUUUCUGACUCCAAUGAUUUAGGUGACAGAGUCUUGCUUAAUGCAACCGAUCGAAACCGAUUACAAGCUGUUAUCGAAUUCUUUCCAUCGUCUGAAAAAAGUGGUUUAGGAAAAACAACCCUAAUUCAACAUCAUAUUGACACCGGUGCAGCAAAAGCAAUUAAGCAAAGAUAUUACAACUUAUCUUUAUCCAAAGAGCUUCAGUUAUGCCAAGAAGUAGACCGCAUGAUUAGUCUGGGAGUACUAGAAGAAGCGCCCGCGUCCACUUCUCCGGCAGUCUUGGUCGUAAAAUCAGGCAAAGUGAGAAUUUGCUUAGAUUCUAGGAAGCUUAAUUCUGUUACAGUAAAGGAUGCUUAUCCUACUCCUCUUAUUGAAGGUCUACUAAGUCGCUUACCUUCAGUACACUGCAUAUCGAAAAUUGAUUUAAAAGAUGUGUUUUGGCAGAUAUGUCUAGACGAAGAAUCGAAACCAAAAACCGCAAUAACCAUACCCAACCGUCCUUUAUAUCAAUUUACACGAAUGCCUUUCGGACUUAUGGAUAAAGUAAUACCUUAUAGAAUGAAAUCACACGUGAUGGUAUAUUUAGAUGACCUAUUAGUCAUGUCUUCAAGUUUCGAAGAGCAUCUUUCUCAUCUGGCCGAAGUCGCUACGCAACUUCGAAAGGCAGGUCUUACUAUUAAUAUCGCCAAAAGUCAGUUUUGCUUAAAGAAAAUCGACUAUUUAGGUUACAUUGUUGGAGAGGGAACUUUGCAAGUGAAUCCCAAUAAAAUAGCCGCCGUGUCCAACUUUCCUGUUCCAAAAACCAAACGUCAACUUAAGAGAUUUCUCGGGAUGACCGGUUGGUAUCAACGGUUUAUUAACCAAUAUUCAGAACAAACCUUCCACCUAACCGAUUUGUUGCGAGGAAAUGAAUUUCACUGGAAUGAUAACGCCCAAGUUGCUUUUGAACAAUUGAAAAAGGCUCUGACCACUGCUCCAUUAAUAGUACAUCCCAAUUACGAAAAACCGUUUAUAGUGCAGUGUGAUGCCUCGAUCAAUGGUGUUGGUGCGCUUCUAGCUCAAUGUGAUGAAAACGGAAUAGAACGCCCUAUUGCAUAUAUGUCUAAGAAGCUUAAUAGAUCUCAAAGGAAUUACUCUACGACGGAACUUGAAUGCUUAGCAGUAGUUCUAGCUAUUAAAAGAUUUCGAAUGUAUAUUGAAGGUCAUGAAUUUACUAUUGUGACUGAUCAUGCAAGUCUCCGAUGGCUCAUGACGCAGCAAGACCUUCAAGGAAGAUUUGCUCGGUGGGCACUCAAACUUCAAGGAUUUAAUUUUAGCAUAGAACAUCGUCGAGGUAGUGAAAAUGUAGUAGCCGAUGCCAUUUCAAGAUCUUUUGAAUCAGAUGAAGGCCUUGCCACUAUUGAUAUCGAUGUUCUCCCAGAAAUUGAUUUGGAAUCCGAAUUCUUUCAAUCAUCCAGCUAUUCGCAACUUAAAGAAAAGUUAACGCAGUCUCAACUACCGGAUUUUCAAGUAAUAGAUGGUUUUCUUUAUCACAGGGUUGGUUUCUCUUACAGUUCCUCCGACCAUCCGAAAGACUCCUGGAAGCUUGUGGUUCCGGUCGAGCUUAGAGAAGGUGUAAUCAAGGCAGCUCACGAUCAGCCGUCUUCUUCUCAUUGCGGUGUAGCCAAAUGUUUGGCAAAUAUUCGAAGAAAGUUUUACUGGCCGCGUAUGGUUGUAGACGUUCGCAAUUACAUCAAAAACUGUGAGAUUUGUAGGACAUCAAAAUACCCCAUGCAGAAACUUAAACCACCCAUAGGACAACAAAUUGUUAGCGAACGGCAGACUCUAUAUAGACUUUAUUGGUCCCUUCCCAAGGACGAAAAGAGGUAAUAUAGGAAUCUUUAUAGUACUCGAUCAUCUAUCGAAAUUCACGUUUCUUAAACCGGUAAAGAAGUUUACAAGUCAAGUCGUCGUGUCAUACCUGAAAGAGGAAAUUUUUUAUUGUUACGAAACGCCUGAGGUUAUAGUAAGCGAUAAUGGUUCGCAAUUCAAAAGUCAGGAAUUUUCUUCUUUUCUUUCUAAGCAUUGCAUUACCCACACUUGCACCGCAGCCUAUUCGCCGCAGUCCAAUGCCGCAGAAAGAGUUAAUAGGUCUUUUAAUGCUGCAUUGAGAGCCUAUACCCGAUCCGAUCAGAGAGAAUGGGAUAGAUAUCUUAGUAGUAUAACCUGUUCUCUGCGUCGACAUAUGCACCAGUCAAUAGCUGAAUCUCCAUUCUUUGUUGUUUUCGGGCAGCAUAUGAUUUGUCACGGAAAAGAUUAUAAAUUACUCAAAAAUCUAAAUUUGCUUAAUGAAAGUUCCUUACGACUAAACCGACAAGACCAAUUCUCUACGUUACGAUUUGACCUCCAAAAGCAAUUAGACAAAGCUUAUAAAAAGAAUGAGCAAUCCUAUAACCUCCGAUCUAGGCCUCGAUCUUUUCAGGUAGGAGACGAGGUAAUUAAACGAAACUUCGCCCUUAGCAAUGCCGCCGCCCACUUCAAUGCUAAGCUUGCACCGGUAGGAAUAAAGGUCCGUGUCAAGCAAAGACUGGGAAACUCUCUCUAUUUACUUAGGGAUUUAAACGGAAAGGAAUUAGGAACAUAUCAUGCAAAGGAUAUUUGGUAACAGUAGACACCCUUUUUCAGGUUUUAUCUCUGUCGUGAAGACUAAAGAUUAAUCCUGUGCUGUAGGGGUGUGAAAUUAUUAGGAAAAGAUUCCUGUAUUUUUUUUUUAAUAUAAAAUAUCGCUAAUGGUUCCGCAACCUGGUGGCAACCACACAUCCUAGAAAAUACUAAACGAUAAUUUCGUAUUUUCUAACACUGCUUGUCAGAGGGCUUGCACCCGCCAUUUGCGUUUUUUCGUUCUCUUAUUUCUGAUCUUUCGGCCGAAGCACACGCGUUUUAAAUCAAAUCGUAUUUUGCAAAGAAGUGCUAAGUCCACGUGUGUAUAUAUAUUAUUAAGGUUAUUAAGCCCGAGGUGGUGCAUAGGGCUUAAUAACCGCCCAACAAGACAAACCGACUAAUAAGUGAAGCACCACAAAGCUAAUUUCAAACGCCCAAAGUGGCUGGCGAAAUUUAGCUGCCACCGAUCGCAACAUCCAACUUAUAGUUGAAAAACUAAUUAGGAGUGCGCAGCGCCACUUGAUCAAAUCGCCUGGUGCUCGUUUUGGCCCACUCUGGCUGCCAACACGUGGAGCGGGACCACUCGAGCCGAGCCACAUACAGUUUACCAGUGCAAAUUUAAGUUUCGAGCCAAGCAUUCCAACCGUUGUAAGACGUAAGGAAAACUUAAGUUCCUAGAUUGAUACACGUGUUGUUCGCCAUAUUCUCCUGACCAGUUGCGAGUAACCUAACCCCGGACUGAUGGUUAGCCAUCGACACGUCCAACACGAGCGUAUAGCGGAUAAGCAGACACCCUAGACUCUUGUUCUAACUGUUGAAUCUGCCGCCUCGCAGCUAAGGAUUCACUCCCGAUCUCAGCAGCCGAUCUGACUGUUGCAUUGCUUUUGUAGUUGUUAGAAUAAAUUUAAAUUUUAUAGAAAUUAAGCUUAUUAUACGGUUCACUCAGCAUACACGCAUCCUCGUUUACACACACCGUCCACAGGCCUGUCGACUGCACUGGAAACAAAUUUAAAGUAUUAAUGUUGUAAGUACGGCAUAGCCGACCGUCUGUUAACAUCAAUCUGAGCCGAGUAAUAUAACUAUAGAAUAACUAUAAAUUCAAGUUUUGACGCCCGUGCUAUUUUUUUGAAGAUUACCUUUUUUCUUUUCAAAACUUAAUUGUUAACGUAAAUUUUUGAAUGAAGAACCUAAAUGAAGUCAGUUGUACCCAUUAUAUGGUUAAUCUGCCAUGGGCAAGCUAACGUUAAGCAAUUCAUAAGCAUCUGCCAUGGGCAAGCUAACGUUAAGAAAAUCAUAAGCCGCUGCCACGGGCAACUUAUCUUUAAUUGCAUUUUGGUACGUAUUUGAGAAUGAAGUAUAAAAUGAAGUAAAUUUGUUUGCGAAUUGGGACACCUGAAGUAACUGUGCAUCAUUAAUAAGGGCAUUGGCCACAAACGCAAAGCGAGCCUAUGCAAGGUUGGGUGGGUUCUGAAGAGGAAUUAAAUGACAUCUGCAAUUCCUCACAUUUAAUGUAAAAUUAGAUUCUUUGAGCUUUGGUUUAGUUUGUCAAUAGUUCCUACUCUGUCUACUAUUUAAGUUUAUGUGACGGCGCGGUUCUCUAGGUAGCAAAACCCCACUCCCAUGUUCCCUGAGCACAGCCGACUGGCAGAGUACGCUGCCAGAUAGCCGCACACAUGGUCGUGUUCGUUACAUAUUCUUUGGCGCCCAACGUCGGGGCGAUCAGAAAUCAGGAAAAUACCGUAUCUUGAGAAUAUAAUAGAGUUAAUUUUUCGUGUCGCUACCCAAUGCAAUAUUCUAAAGAAAAAUCCAAUUUUUUUUUGUAUAGUUUCCUAAUUUGAGCCUUAAUGUGAUAGUUUGGAAUUCAGACAUCGCGCGUUCUUGCAGGUGCUGAACCUAGAUUAUGUUAUCGCUCAAUCCUAAUUCCCAUAUCAACAAUAAAUGAAUUGCUUCGGUAUGUGAGAUUUGGGGAAAAGCUCGAAUUCGCACCAGGCAACAUUAUUCUUUUAAUAAUCACAUUUGAUUCACCUAAGAAAAGUCAUUUGAGAUUUACUUUGUUGGAAAUUUCUAGCAAGUACUCAUGAUUAUAUUUUUAGAGAUCAAACAUUAAGUCUUACUGCUUUGAGAUUUGUUUAGCUAAAUAGUUUUUGGAAAGACACUCAGCAGUAAUGCACUUGCUUUCCUAACAUUAAAAGACUUUUGCCCAACAGAAACCCUAAUUUUAUAUUAAUAUUUAUUCGAUGCACGGUAACUAAAGGAUAGUCUCAAUUUUAAAUCAGAGUUUUUAUAUUUACAAUAUUUGAGAAAAUAUUUUAAUACUACAACAUGUCAGUUCAGCCUAAUCGAGACGAGGUUGCAGUCACCGAUAGUGGGGAUGAACGUUCUCUUUGUAUUAUUUGCAUAGUAUCAUUAUGGUAAUAGAUACUGAACUUGCAGAAACCCCUUGUAGACAUAAAUUUCACAGAACAUGCGUGGUACUGUGGUUAGGAACUAAUGAAACUUGUCCGCUUUGCCGAAGUGCUUGUACCCUGGUACAACUGAUAACCUUUCCUGCUGCUCAACCGAAUAGGUCUACUAAUGAUACUAAUAGGGAAGUUCGAGGUGCUUCUGCCAAUCAAGCUACGGGAGCCGUUAACCGAACACAAGAGCGAAUUCCAAUCAGAACUUAACGAAUCAGAGAGCACAGUCUAGCUUGAGAAGCAUUUCCGAAACUCGAGUACAGCAGUUAAUCACCGACUCCUUAGAAACCUUUCAAGUUAGCAUGGUUGCAGCAGUAGCGGAUGAGAUCAGUAAUACGAUGCGAAACCUUCAGUUGACUAAUAAUUCCCAAAAUCCGCGAAAUCACAUCCUUGUAGAAAAUCCUGGAAACUUAAAUCGAUCCAAUGCAAGCAGAGUUGAUAGUAAUCAAGGCUCUAGUAUACGAUUGCCUUAAGGUGAUCCUGUGACACAAGCCUUAUAUCGUCCUGACAAAGUUUCAAGCGUUAUUUCUAAUUGGAACGUGAAAUUCACUGGCAUGGCAAGUGACAUACCUGUUGAAGACUUUAUCUAUAGGAUAAAUAGUUUGACUAUACAAUGUCUAAACGCAAACUCUAAUUUGCUAUACCAAUUUGCCAACGUACUAUUUGCCGGACCAGCUUUACAAUUUUAUUGGCGUUUUCAGAGAACUUCAAGUGAACCGAAUUGGUUUCACCUGUGUACAAGUCUCCGUGAACGGUAUAGAGAAGCGCACUGACGAAGAGAUUAAAGACUCUUUUCGACUUAGGAAGCAGAAAAGCGCGGAAAAUUUUGACGAUUUUCUAGAUGCUAUCCUAACGAUUGCAGAUGCUUUGCGUGAGCCUAUGUCCGACAGUGAACUAGUUACCAACGUUAAAAAGAACCUUAAACCUGAAUUACGACUAGAAUUAUUACAUGUUUUGACCCCAAACAUUGCCUCCUUAAGAGCAGAGUGCCACAAUCACGAACGAUUUCUCAUUAGCAUGGCAGGUAGGUCGGCAGCCCGUCCUCCUCCAAACCGGCGAUUUGUAAAUGAGCUAGUGCAGGUUGAAGAGUCUAGGGAAGAAGAGAAUUAUCAAACUAUGAGCGACGUAGAAAUAAAUGCGAUGCGCAAUGCUGAGCGUUAUAAAUGUUGGAAUUGUGAGGAAACCGGAAAAAGAUAUCAUGAUUGCCUCAAAGCCAGACGCAUAUUUUGCUAUGGGUGUGGUCCUCCUGACACUUAUAAGCCUAGUUGCUUGAAAUGUAAUCCCCCGUCGGAAAACUCGUAAGAGGAUGUCCAUCAAUUCUGACUGGUGGAUAUCCUAUUUCAAAAUCACCAUCAAUAACAGGUACUAAUAAUCUUCUAAUUUAAGUAACUCUCAACCUGACUCGACAACAUCUAACCCAGAUUUAGACAAACCCAACUGUAUGUUAAUUAAAAACACUACAGAGCCGUCAUAAACCUUUAAAUUUAUCCCCUACCAUGAAAGAGUACGCAACUAUUAUCAACGCAGAGCGGAAAUAUUUACACUACAAAUUAAUUCUGCCAACAAAUCUCGAUCAGCUAAUCGAAUGUGUUCAUUUUGGAAACAGCAGCGAAGAAUGAAGAAGUAUGUCGUAUCCUCUAUUGUUAGGCAGGACAAUGACAACCGUCCUUACAUCGCUUUGGAAUUAUUUAACAAAACCUUGGCCUUGCUUGAUAGUUGAGCUAACAAAUGCGUAGUAGGUGGUAAAUUGGCUAAACUUAUUCUUACAGAUCAUCCAGGGUUAAGGAAGUUAAAAUGUUAUGUUCGUACAGCCGAUGGACAAAAUCAAAACGUCACCGCUACCAUUGUCGUUCCGAUUCACUAUAACUCCUUAUCUCAGGAUGUAGAAUUUUUAAUAGUACCCAGUAUUAAACAAGAUAUAAUCUGCGGAAUGGAUUUUUGGAAAUUAUUUGGUCUUCGAAUAUCCAGUACAACGACUAUUUCCGAAAUUUCUGACUCCAAUGAUUUAGGUGACAGAGUCUUGCUUAAUGCAACCGAUCGAAACCGAUUACAAGCUGUUAUCGAAUUCUUUCCAUCGUCUGAAAAAAGUGGUUUAGGAAAAACAACCCUAAUUCAACAUCAUAUUGACACCGGUGCAGCAAAAGCAAUUAAGCAAAGAUAUUACAACUUAUCUUUAUCCAAAGAGCUUCAGUUAUGCCAAGAAGUAGACCGCAUGAUUAGUCUGGGAGUACUAGAAGAAGCGCCCGCGUCCACUUCUCCGGCAGUCUUGGUCGUAAAAUCAGGCAAAGUGAGAAUUUGCUUAGAUUCUAGGAAGCUUAAUUCUGUUACAGUAAAGGAUGCUUAUCCUACUCCUCUUAUUGAAGGUCUACUAAGUCGCUUACCUUCAGUACACUGCAUAUCGAAAAUUGAUUUAAAAGAUGUGUUUUGGCAGAUAUGUCUAGACGAAGAAUCGAAACCAAAAACCGCAAUAACCAUACCCAACCGUCCUUUAUAUCAAUUUACACGAAUGCCUUUCGGACUUAUGGAUAAAGUAAUACCUUAUAGAAUGAAAUCACACGUGAUGGUAUAUUUAGAUGACCUAUUAGUCAUGUCUUCAAGUUUCGAAGAGCAUCUUUCUCAUCUGGCCGAAGUCGCUACGCAACUUCGAAAGGCAGGUCUUACUAUUAAUAUCGCCAAAAGUCAGUUUUGCUUAAAGAAAAUCGACUAUUUAGGUUACAUUGUUGGAGAGGGAACUUUGCAAGUGAAUCCCAAUAAAAUAGCCGCCGUGUCCAACUUUCCUGUUCCAAAAACCAAACGUCAACUUAAGAGAUUUCUCGGGAUGACCGGUUGGUAUCAACGGUUUAUUAACCAAUAUUCGGAACAAACCUUCCACCUAACCGAUUUGUUGCGAGGAAAUGAAUUUCACUGGAAUGAUAACGCCCAAGUUGCUUUUGAACAAUUGAAAAAGGCUCUGACCACUGCUCCAUUAAUAGUACAUCCCAAUUACGAAAAACCGUUUAUAGUGCAGUGUGAUGCCUCGAUCAAUGGUGUUGGUGCGCUUCUAGCUCAAUGUGAUGAAAACGGAAUAGAACGCCCUAUUGCAUAUAUGUCUAAGAAGCUUAAUAGAUCUCAAAGGAAUUACUCUACGACGGAACUUGAAUGCUUAGCAGCAGUUCUAGCUAUUAAAAGAUUUCGAAUGUAUAUUGAAGGUCAUGAAUUAACUAUUGUGACUGAUCAUGCAAGUCUCCGAUGGCUCAUGACGCAGCAAGACCUUCAAGGAAGAUUUGCUCGGUGGGCACUCAAACUUCAAGGAUUUAAUUUUAGCAUAGAACAUCGUCGAGGUAGUGAAAAUGUAGUAGCCGAUGCCAUUUCAAGAUCUUUUGAAUCAGAUGAAGGCCUUGCCACUAUUGAUAUCGAUGUUCUCCCAGAAAUUGAUUUGGAAUCCGAAUUCUUUCAAUCAUCCAGCUAUUCGCAACUUAAAGAAAAGUUAACGCAGUCUCAACUACCGGAUUUUCAAGUAAUAGAUGGUUUUCUUUAUCACAGGGUUGGUUUCUCUUACAGUUCCUCCGACCAUCCGAAAGACUCCUGGAAGCUUGUGGUUCCGGUCGAGCUUAGAGAAGGUGUAAUCAAGGCAGCUCACGAUCAGCCGUCUUCUUCUCAUUGCGGUGUAGCCAAAUGUUUGGCAAAUAUUCGAAGAAAGUUUUACUGGCCGCGUAUGGUUGUAGACGUUCGCAAUUACAUCAAAAACUGUGAGAUUUGUAGGACAUCAAAAUACCCCAUGCAGAAACUUAAACCACCCAUAGGACAACAAAUUGUUAGCGAACGGCAGACUCUAUAUAGACUUUAUUGGUCCCUUCCCAAGGACGAAAAGAGGUAAUAUAGGAAUCUUUAUAGUACUCGAUCAUCUAUCGAAAUUCACGUUUCUUAAACCGGUAAAGAAGUUUACAAGUCAAGUCGUCGUGUCAUACCUGAAAGAGGAAAUUUUUUAUUGUUACGAAACGCCUGAGGUUAUAGUAAGCGAUAAUGGUUCGCAAUUCAAAAGUCAGGAAUUUUCUUCUUUUCUUUCUAAGCAUUGCAUUACCCACACUUGCACCGCAGCCUAUUCGCCGCAGUCCAAUGCCGCAGAAAGAGUUAAUAGGUCUUUUAAUGCUGCAUUGAGAGCCUAUACCCGAUCCGAUCAGAGAGAAUGGGAUAGAUAUCUUAGUAGUAUAACCUGUUCUCUGCGUCGACAUAUGCACCAGUCAAUAGCUGAAUCUCCAUUCUUUGUUGUUUUCGGGCAGCAUAUGAUUUGUCACGGAAAAGAUUAUAAAUUACUCAAAAAUCUAAAUUUGCUUAAUGAAAGUUCCUUACGACUAAACCGACAAGACCAAUUCUCUACGUUACGAUUUGACCUCCAAAAGCAAUUAGACAAAGCUUAUAAAAAGAAUGAGCAAUCCUAUAACCUCCGAUCUAGGCCUCGAUCUUUUCAGGUAGGAGACGAGGUAAUUAAACGAAACUUCGCCCUUAGCAAUGCCGCCGCCCACUUCAAUGCUAAGCUUGCACCGGUAGGAAUAAAGGUCCGUGUCAAGCAAAGACUGGGAAACUCUCUCUAUUUACUUAGGGAUUUAAACGGAAAGGAAUUAGGAACAUAUCAUGCAAAGGAUAUUUGGUAACAGUAGACACCCUUUUUCAGGUUUUAUCUCUGUCGUGAAGACUAAAGAUUAAUCCUGUGCUGUAGGGGUGUGAAAUUAUUAGGAAAAGAUUCCUGUAUUUUUUUUUUAAUAUAAAAUAUCGCUAAUGGUUCCGCAACCUGGUGGCAACCACACAUCCUAGAAAAUACUAAACGAUAAUUUCGUAUUUUCUAACACUGCUUGUCAGAGGGCUUGCACCCGCCAUUUGCGUUUUUUCGUUCUCUUAUUUCUGAUCUUUCGGCCGAAGCACACGCGUUUUAAAUCAAAUCGUAUUUUGCAAAGAAGUGCUAAGUCCACGUGUGUAUAUAUAUUAUUAAGGUUAUUAAGCCCGAGGUGGUGCAUAGGGCUUAAUAACCGCCCAACAAGACAAACCGACUAAUAAGUGAAGCACCACAAAGCUAAUUUCAAACGCCCAAAGUGGCUGGCGAAAUUUAGCUGCCACCGAUCGCAACAUCCAACUUAUAGUUGAAAAACUAAUUAGGAGUGCGCAGCGCCACUUGAUCAAAUCGCCUGGUGCUCGUUUUGGCCCACUCUGGCUGCCAACACGUGGAGCGGGACCACUCGAGCCGAGCCACAUACAGUUUACCAGUGCAAAUUUAAGUUUCGAGCCAAGCAUUCCAACCGUUGUAAGACGUAAGGAAAACUUAAGUUCCUAGAUUGAUACACGUGUUGUUCGCCAUAUUCUCCUGACCAGUUGCGAGUAACCUAACCCCGGACUGAUGGUUAGCCAUCGACACGUCCAACACGAGCGUAUAGCGGAUAAGCAGACACCCUAGACUCUUGUUCUAACUGUUGAAUCUGCCGCCUCGCAGCUAAGGAUUCACUCCCGAUCUCAGCAGCCGAUCUGACUGUUGCAUUGCUUUUGUAGUUGUUAGAAUAAAUUUAAAUUUUAUAGAAAUUAAGCUUAUUAUACGGUUCACUCAGCAUACACGCAUCCUCGUUUACACACACCGUCCACAGGCCUGUCGACUGCACUGGAAACAAAUUUAAAGUAUUAAUGUUUUCACUCAGCAUACACACAUCCUCGUUUACACACACCGUCCACAGGCCUGUCGACUGCACUGAAAACAGAUUUAAAGUAUUAAUGUUAACACACCAAACCCGGCUUCCAUUAAAGACUGGGUCACCCCAAGUUCAAUUGGACUUUUUAUCGGGCUUUCCGAUCUGCCUGAUGCUCUCCUCCAAAUUCGGAUCAGCAGAAAAUCUAACUGCACAGACCGCCUUAGCGGACAUCAUGCGCUGCGUUCAGCAGAACAUUAUGAUAUCUGAUCACUGAUAAAAUUUUUACGAUAGAUUUGCUGAACGCACAUGUUUACUAAUCAUGAUGCAAAAAUGCAUAUUCAGUUUUGCGGACAUGUGCUCUGUGGUAUUUGGGUAUAAAAUAGUACUUACGGUAUUUAUACUGUAAAUUAAAUGUUUACCAGUGUCAAAACAGUAUUCUCCUUGGUGUACGGAUUAUAAAAAUUAAUUCUCUCAAAUGUGGAGCUCUAAAUAGUGAAAUCCAAACAUUUUAAAAGAAAAAAAAUAUCGUUCUAAUUCAUGCCCUUAUUUGACGCGACGCCAAAGAAACAAUAUG
Drosophila biarmipes is the source of this 21806-nucleotide RNA transcript. It is a transcript of the gene named zinc finger protein ubi-d4 B, with no coding region annotated. The transcript is spliced from 13 exons. Lineage: Eukaryota; Metazoa; Arthropoda; Insecta; Diptera; Drosophilidae. The record is from RefSeq and is a predicted model, not a curated record.